Molecule: ribosomal RNA, 332 nt
Filed under: uncultured bacterium
Lineage: Bacteria
Description: bacterial SSU rRNA
Rfam family: Bacterial small subunit ribosomal RNA
Source: RNAcentral
UGCGUAGGCGGUUCGGUAAGUCUUAUGUGAAAUCUUCAGGCUCAACUUGAAGUCUGCAUGAGAAACUGCCGGGCUUGAGUGUGGGAGAGGUGAGUGGAAUUUCCGGUGUAGCGGUGAAAUGCGUAGAUAUCGGAAGGAACACCUGUGGCGAAAGCGGCUCACUGGACCAUAACUGACGCUGAUGCACGAAAGCUAGGGGAGCAAACAGGAUUAGAUACCCUGGUAGUCCUAGCCCUAAACGAUGAUCGCUUGGUGUGACGGGUACCCAAUCCCGCCGUGCCGAAGCUAACGCGUUAAGCGAUCCGCCUGGGGAGUACGGUCGCAAGGCUGAA